CGGUGAAUCCGUUCCCGGGCCUUGUACACACCGCCCGUCACACCACCCGAGUUGGGGGUACCCGAAGUCGCUUGCCUAACCGCAAGGGGGGCGGCGCCGAAGGUAUGCCUGGUAAGGGGGGUG
RNAcentral lists this ribosomal RNA (123 nucleotides) under uncultured bacterium. Its description in RNAcentral is "partial 16S ribosomal RNA". It matches the Rfam family "Bacterial small subunit ribosomal RNA", at positions 1360 to 1482 of the family's 1533-position model. The record is from RNAcentral.